GCAAUGUUUAAGCAACUCUGUGAGACAACAGGGAAGAUCUCUCAAGAGAAGAUUAAAGGCUUAUUCCAAAGUCAGUGUUACCCCGAUGGGGCGGUGCUGCUGGAAUCUGCUUCACUGGAAGGUCACUUCAAAAUGCAACAGCAGGGGUUUGAACUGGUGUGAAGGCCUUUGGAGAGAAGUCAGGACAAGGUACAAGGGCACCCGGUGGGCCUGGGGACAGCGAGCAGAGGUGGCAGAGACAUGGAAGGUACUGGGGCCUGGAACCUGCUGGGCGAGGGAAGCCAAGCCGCGACAGGUCGGGUUUGCCGGACGGACAGAAGAGCGGGGAGACUCUGUGACCGUUUCCUCAACUGCAAGAUGGGGAUAGCAGGCUUGACGUGAAGGUUAGCUGUGUGGGCUUGGCGCACACUAACACUCAGUAAGUAACAACUUUCCCGUGUCUUGGCCUCGUCAAGAAACUGACGAAAGGCAGGGACUUCUCCCCAGCAAAGGUUGGGGCCGGGACACGGGAAGCAGAGGAUGAGAAGAGGAAUUUGUCCACCUGGUUGUUUGACUCUUGCCCAAGGAAAGUGGAUCCACCAAGAGCACGAACAGACGCCCGACAGGAGGAGCCCCUGGUGAGCACCGUGUGACGGGUCUGCACGUGUCACACCCCCAGAAGGCCCGCUGUCGGGGUUUCACACCUCCUGAUCAGGUGAGAGUGUGUUCUGUCCGCUGACCUUGAACGUGGCCCAGGCCGCUCUCAGCGGCUCUGGUCCAGCCCUGAGGCAUCAUCCACUCACUCGGCAUCGGUGUGGAGCGGCUGUGCACACCGAGAGGCAAAGGCCCCUCACUGCCGACGCAUCCCCGUAGGUUCUUGUUGGCACCACAGCUCUUCUUUGCUCCCCGCCUGCCUGACCAACACCACGGUAGUCACCUCACAGACCAUGCGGCAGUUUUUUUUAAGUGAUGAAAAUAUCCAGAAAUGGUUUGUUACUGAGUUCCUUUUGCUUGACCCGCACAGCGUUCGCAGCUGCGGGGACACCCUCAGCCGGUGCUCCGCAAAUGCCCCUCCGUCAGUUCCGGAUCCCAGAGCUCCAGAGCGGAGCCUUGAGGGCCUUCAACAAAGCCUGAAGAGGUGGCCCUGAGGGGAGACGCAGCGGGAGACGCAGUGGGAGCCGCAGGGCGGCCAGGCUCGUCCCCACCAUGCUCAGAACUGUGGGACGGUCAGUAUUUGGAAGCUGCUGGAUUACUGCACGUGGCUCCCCGAUCCACUGCGGGAAUCCAAUCCCCUUCCUCCAGCCCUGAAGGGCGCACUUCACAGAGGUGCCCCAGGAAAUCGGCAAGCAGACGAGAGACUUCCACGAAGUAUCGGAACACCUGGAUAAUCACUUAAAGCAACCAAAAGCUGCCUCACGCCGCACACAGAAAUUAGCUCAAAGACACCAAAAUGUAAGUCUAAAUCCAUGAAACUUUUAGGAGAAAACAGGGGACCGUCUCUGAGACUCUCACAGGGAGAGAUUGUCCACACAUGCAGAGCAUUCGACAUAAAAGAAAAAAAUUAAUCAACCAGGCUCACUAAAAGGAAGAACGUUUGUUCUUCAAAGAGCACAGUUAAGAAAGCAGAAAGACCAGUCGGAGGCAGACGAGCCCAGCCCUGGGACCAAAGCCCUGAUUCCUGCGCACCCCUUACACCCACUGGGACGGUGGCUGUCGCAAAAGCAGGAAGUAGCAAGUGCUGGGGGACUGCAAAAUGGGGCAGCCAGCACGGAAAUGGUAUUCCCGUUCCUCACAAGAUUAAAACCAGAACUUCCGCCUGACCCAGCAAUUCUAGCUUCUGGGUGCUCUCGCUAAAGAACAGAAAGCAGGUCUCAAGGAGACGCCUGUGCCCCGUGUUCCUGCAGCGCCAUUCACACUGGCCCAGAGGUGGAAGCCAACAGGUGUCCCUCGACGGGUGAUGGGUGACAAACGUGGUCCCUCCCUACAAUGGAACAUCAGUCAGCCUUAAAGAGGAAGGAAAUUCUGACCCCUCCUGCAACACGGAUGGAGCUUGAGGACAUGUGCCCAGGGAAACGAGCCAGUCACGAGGGGACAAGCACUGUGAUUCCACUUACAUGAGGUCCCUAAGGUGGACAAGUUUGUAGACAGUAGGACAGCGGGUGCCAGAGACUGGGGGAGGGGAGAGGAGCUGGGGUUUCAUGGGGACGGAGUUUCAGUCUUACAAGAU
Vicugna pacos (alpaca) is the source of this 2206-nucleotide non-coding RNA. Lineage: Eukaryota; Metazoa; Chordata; Mammalia; Artiodactyla; Camelidae. The record is from RefSeq and is a predicted model, not a curated record.